CUUUACUGUAGCCUGGUAUUGGGUUCGGGCUUUGACUGCGCAGGAUAGGUGGGAGACUAUGAAGCAAUCCUUGUGGGGGUUGUGGAGUCAACGGUGAGAUACCACUCUGUCAGAGCUAGAAUUCUAACCUUCACCCGUUAUCCGGGGAAGGAACCGUAUCAGGGGGGCAGUUUGACUGGGGCGGUCGCCUCCUAAAGUGUAACGGAGGCGCGCAAAGGUGUUCUCAGGCUGGUUGGAAAUCAGCCGUAGAGUGUAAAGGCAGAAGAACGCUUGACUGUGAGAGUGACAACUCGAGCAGGGUGGAAACACGGCCUUAGUGAUCCGACGGCACUGAGUGGAAGGGCCGUCGCUAAACGGAUAAAAGUUA
This 367-nucleotide ribosomal RNA is filed under the name uncultured organism. Its description in RNAcentral is "bacterial LSU rRNA". It matches the Rfam family "Bacterial large subunit ribosomal RNA", at positions 2099 to 2465 of the family's 2925-position model. The record is from RNAcentral.